GCCACUCGGGAGUGGCGGACGGGUGAGUACACGUGGGAACGUACCCUUAGGUUCGGAACAACACAGGGAAACUUGUGCUAAUACCGGAUAAGCCCUUCGGGGGAAAGAUUUAUCGCCAUUGGAGCGGCCCGCGUCUGAUUAGCUUGUUGGUGAGGUAAUGGCUCACCAAGGCUACGAUCAGUAGCUGGUCUGAGAGGAUGGCCAGCCACACUGGGACUGAGACACGGCCCAGACUCCUACGGGAGGCAGCAGUGGGGAAUCUUGCGCAAUGGGCGAAAGCCUGACGCAGCCAUGCCGCGUGGAUGAUGAAGGUCUUAGGAUUGUAAAAUCCUUUCACCGGGGACGAUAAUGACGGUACCCGGAGAAGAAGCCCCGGCUAACUUCGUGCCAGCAGCCGCGGUAAUACGAAGGGGGCUAGCGUUGCUCGGAAUUACUGGGCGUAAAGGGCGCGUAGGCGGACAGUUAAGUUGGGGGUGAAAGCCCGGGGCUCAACCUCGGAAAUGCCUUCAAUACUGGCUGUCUUGAGUACGGGAGUGGUGAGUGGAACUCCGAGUGUAGAGGUGAAAUUCGUAGAUAUUCGGAAGAACACCAGUGGCGAAGGCGACUCACUGGCCCGUUACUGACGCUGAGGCGCGAAAGCGUGGGGAGCA
RNAcentral lists this ribosomal RNA (650 nucleotides) under uncultured bacterium. RNAcentral describes it as "bacterial SSU rRNA". It matches the Rfam family "Bacterial small subunit ribosomal RNA", at positions 84 to 770 of the family's 1533-position model. The record is from RNAcentral.